RNAcentral lists this ribosomal RNA (447 nucleotides) under uncultured bacterium. RNAcentral's name for it is "SSU rRNA". It matches the Rfam family "Bacterial small subunit ribosomal RNA", at positions 26 to 518 of the family's 1533-position model. The record is from RNAcentral.
AGAGCGAACGCUGGCGGCAGGCCUAACACAUGCAAGUCGAGCGCCCGUAGCAAUACGGGAGCGGCAGACGGGAUAGUAACACGUGGGAACGCGCCCUUCGGUUCGGAAUAACUCAGGGAAACUUGAGCUAAUACCGGAUACGCCCUUACGGGGAAAGAUUUAUUGCCGAAGGAACGGCCCGCGUCCGAUUAGCUAGUUGGUGAGGUAAUGGCUCACCAAGGCGACGAUCGGUAGCUGGUCUGAGAGGAUGACCAGCAUCACUGGGACUGAGACACGGCCCAGACUCCUACGGGAGGCAGCAGUGGGGAAUAUUGGACAAUGGGCGCAAGCCUGAUCCAGCCAUGCCGCGUGGAUGAUGAAGGCCUUAGGGUUGUAAAGUCCUUUUAACGGGGAAGAUAAUGACGGUACCCGUAGAAUAAGCCCGGCUAACUUCGUGUCAGCAGCCGC